CAAUUCGGACCGGAAGUUGGGCUUGAAGCCCGAAUAAGGGUGAGUACACAUGGAGGCCCCAGUCGC
Molecule: non-coding RNA, 66 nt
Filed under: Saccharolobus solfataricus
Lineage: Archaea; Thermoproteati; Thermoproteota; Thermoprotei; Sulfolobales; Sulfolobaceae
Source: RNAcentral